This 77-nucleotide ribosomal RNA is filed under the name Porella platyphylloidea. RNAcentral describes it as "partial 26S ribosomal RNA". It matches the Rfam family "Eukaryotic large subunit ribosomal RNA", at positions 1 to 76 of the family's 3401-position model. Lineage: Eukaryota; Viridiplantae; Streptophyta; Jungermanniopsida; Porellales; Porellaceae. The record is from RNAcentral.
UGGACCUCAGAUCAGGCAAGAUUACCCGCUGAGUUUAAGCAUAUCACUAAGCGGAGGAAAAGAAACUAACAAGGAUU